RNAcentral lists this ribosomal RNA (418 nucleotides) under Nocardioides sp. RKVR_SS2. RNAcentral's name for it is "bacterial SSU rRNA". It matches the Rfam family "Bacterial small subunit ribosomal RNA", at positions 42 to 464 of the family's 1533-position model. The record is from RNAcentral. Lineage: Bacteria; Bacillati; Actinomycetota; Actinomycetes; Propionibacteriales; Nocardioidaceae.
GCGUGCUUAACACAUGCAAGUCGAGCGGAAAGGCCCUUCGGGGUACUCGAGCGGCGAACGGGUGAGUAACACGUGRGUAAUCUGCCCCUGGCUUCGGGAUAGCCACCGGAAACGGUGAUUAAUACCGGAUAUGACUACUUCCUGCAUGGGAUGGUAGUGGAAAGUUUUUCGGCCAGGGAUGUWCUCGCGGCCUAUCAGCUUGAUGGUGAGGUAAUGGCUCACCAUGGCUUCGACGGGUAGCCGGCCUGAGAGGGUGACCGGUCACACUGGGACUGAGACACGGCCCAGACUCCUACGGGAGGCAGCAGUGGGGAAUAUUGGACAAUGGGCGGAAGCCUGAUCCAGCAACGCCGCGUGAGGGAUGACGGCCUUCGGGUUGUAAACCUCUUUCGGUAGGGACGAAGCGCAAGUGACGUAC